Molecule: ribosomal RNA, 507 nt
Filed under: uncultured bacterium
Lineage: Bacteria
Also listed under: 1 other name
Description: bacterial SSU rRNA
Rfam family: Bacterial small subunit ribosomal RNA
Source: RNAcentral
CGGGCGUGCCUAAUACAUGCAAGUCGAACGCACUCUCGUUAGAUUGAAGAAGCUUGCUUCUGAUUGAUAACAUUUGAGUGAGUGGCGGACGGGUGAGUAACACGUGGGUAACCUGCCCUAAAGUGGGGGAUAACAUUUGGAAACAGAUGCUAAUACCGCAUAAAACCUAGCACCGCAUGGUGCAAGGUUGAAAGAUGGUUUCGGCUAUCACUUUAGGAUGGACCCGCGGUGCAUUAGUUAGUUGGUGAGGUAAAGGCUCACCAAGACCGUGAUGCAUAGCCGACCUGAGAGGGUAAUCGGCCACACUGGGACUGAGACACGGCCCAGACUCCUACGGGAGGCAGCAGUAGGGAAUCUUCCACAAUGGACGAAAGUCUGAUGGAGCAACGCCGCGUGAGUGAAGAAGGUUUUCGGAUCGUAAAACUCUGUUGUUGGAGAAGAACGUAUUUGAUAGUAACUGAUCAGGUAGUGACGGUAUCCAACCAGAAAGCCACGGCUAACUACGUG